GAAACAUUGUUUCUUAAUUCAUACUUGUUAUAUGCAUCCGUUAUAUUUAGGUGAUAAUUUACUUCCACUAUUAUCAUCAUUUACCAAACAAAUGUUAUUAUCUGUUGUUACUUUGGUAUCUGUGUCUCAUCGAUUCUCGUCUGUGAUUUAAACAUAAAGUUAAUUUAAUUUUAGGCUUUAGGUUACUGAUUGCUUCAUAGUGUAUAUCUUUUUUACAACUAUCCAUUUUGAAUAUAUUUGUCAUGCAUGACUCAUGUGGCUUCUUGGCUUAAUUUCUCAAUUUAUUAUUUUUAGUUUAAUGAUAUCAUUUUGUCCCAUUUGGGUUUUGUGUUGGUUGGACUCUAUAUUGCUUCAGUCAUGUACUUCAGUGAAGUUACCGGCAACCUGGGCACUUGUCUAGGUUCCCAGGCGAGGCGUGGCCUGAGCGCCCACCUUUUGGGCUGGGUGGUCUUCGCAGCCCGAGCACUGACCUGGGCCCAAGCACUAGGUGGGCUAGGCGCCUGCUUGGUUCAACUCAUACUAGGUCGAGCCUGAGUUGAACCAAAAUGUAGAACCAAUCACUCUCUGGUUCGAUUGAACCAGGUAAUCUCAUGCUCGAACACUUCGAAUGCCCCUGCAUGAGCUGUGCCCUAAAUGCAGAAUUGAGUCUUUCCCCAGCAUUUUUUGCAUGGUGGCAAACUUCCCCCCAAUCAGCGAACGACGGCAACAGUGAUAGCGACAUCUUCCUCUAGCGGUAGCAGCAACGACGUCUUCCUACAGCAACAGUAGCAACCUCUUCCCCUAAGGCAGCGUCUUCCUUUGAUGGUGUCUUCAUCCAGCAAUAGUGGCGACAACGGCAUCUUCCCUCACAGUAUAUCUCUCUCUUUCUCCUCCUCAUUCCUCCCUCCUACCUCUUCCCCGUUAACUGUAGCCCCCUGUCCGCCCUGCCUUCUCAUAGGCUCAUAGCCCCUCUUCCCUUAUUGCCGCACCUCUUCCCCUGUUGUUGCAGCUCGCCCCCCUCCCUGAACCAGAGCUUUCAUCCCUCUUCCCGUCUCUCUUCCCUGAACUGCACCUCUUUCCUUGUUGCUGCAGCCCCACUCCCUGGACCACAGUCCUCUUCCCUCUUCCCCUAUUGCUGCAGCUCCCCUCUUCCCCGGACCACAGCUCUCUUCCCUCUUCCUUUGUUUCUGCACCUCUUCCUUUGUUGCGACAGCUCCCUUCUUCCCUCUUCCAUCUUCCCUCUUCUCUUCACUCUUCCCCUGCUGUCAUAGCUCCCCUAUCCAACAGUCACCCCUGUCGUCGCAGCUCCCCGAUUCAACUUUGAUGUGUUAUUUUAGUUUUAGUUUAUUUUUUAUUAAUCAUGAUCUAUAAUUCUUAAAUUAUAAUAUUCGGGAGCAACUUGCUUUGCUCGGGCCAGCGCCUUGGGCAUUUUGGGACUAUGGCACCUUUUGGCACCUAGCGCUUUGGACAAUAUUGAUGUACUUUGAUAUGAUGACUCUAUAUUGCUUCAUUCAUUUCAUGUGCUUUUAUAGGAUUUAGUGUCUCCUAUUGGUUACCUUCUUUUGGAGGGAAGGACAUCUCCUAGAGAGAAUUGAGGAGAAAGAGAAAACAAGAGGAACAACAAAGGAAAUUUGAUAGCUUAACUUGUGUUGCCUCUGGGGCUUAGAAGAUCUUUACUUAUACUCUCUCUCUCUCUCUCUCUCUCUCUCUCUCUCUCUAUCUAUCUAUCUAUCUAUCUAUCUAAAGCAACAUGGGUUUGAACAUGAGCUUAAAUACUCAUAAGAAAAGUUUAUUAAGCAUUCCUCAAUAUUCCUCUUAAGCAACACUCUAGAACUCUUAAAUUUGUGGAUUAGACCCUGAAAUUUGUUUUUCUUUAUUGUCAAGAUCUAAAAGGGAGUAAUAAGUUGUUUUUCUUUAUUGAUUAUGGCUUCUAGGGAAAAAAAGAUGUAAAUUCAGAAAACAUAUCGUUUAUGUCUUAGCUUUAUCAGAGGUAUAUCUUCAUAAUAUUUCUUAUUGUUGCAAGAACCAUAUGCGCUAUGCUUUGGGCUUUCAGGAACUAAUGUACAAAUACAAGAACUAAGAAAUUCACAUUUGUUGGCAUGAUAGCAGAAAACCAAUGUGUGAAGUAGGAUUAUAGAGCAAUCAGCUUUUGCCUUGUGUUGACAAAUAUGUCAUCAAUGAAAACCCUGUUGUUGCUUUUAGUCAUAGAUGACCUGUAGUUGUUUAAAUUAUUCUGACCAACAGUUCAAAUUAGCCAAGUUGAAUUAUUUAUCCUUAUGUUUCAAUUGUUA
Molecule: long non-coding RNA, 2270 nt
Filed under: Musa acuminata (dwarf banana)
Lineage: Eukaryota; Viridiplantae; Streptophyta; Magnoliopsida; Zingiberales; Musaceae
Description: long non-coding RNA (MACU_LNC001846)
Source: RNAcentral